UACGUAGGGUCCGAGCGUUGUCCGGAAUUAUUGGGCGUAAAGGGCUCGUAGGCGGUUAGUCACGUCGGGAGUGAAAACUCAGGGCUCAACCCUGAGCGUGCUUCCGAUACGGGCUGACUAGAGGUAUGCAGGGGAGAACGGAAUUCCUGGUGUAGCGGUGGAAUGCGCAGAUAUCAGGAGGAACACCGGUGGCGAAGGCGGUUCUCUGGGCAUUACCUGACGCUGAGGAGCGAAAGCAUGGGGAGCGAAC
This 250-nucleotide ribosomal RNA is filed under the name uncultured bacterium. RNAcentral describes it as "partial 16S ribosomal RNA". It matches the Rfam family "Bacterial small subunit ribosomal RNA", at positions 524 to 773 of the family's 1533-position model. The record is from RNAcentral.